UGGGGAAUAUUGGACAAUGGGGGAAACCCUGAUCCAGCAAUGCCGCGUGAGUGAAGAAGGCCUUAGGGUUGUAAAGCUCUUUCGCCCGCGAAGAUAAUGACGGUAGCGGGAGAAGAAGCCCCGGCUAACUCCGUGCCAGCAGCCGCGGUAAUACGGAGGGGGCUAGCGUUGUUCGGAAUUACUGGGCGUAAAGCGUACGUAGGCGGAUGCGCAAGUUGGGGGUGAAAUCCCGGGGCUUAACCUCGGAAUUGCCCUCAAAACUGCACGUCUUGAGACCGAGAGAGGUAAGGGGAAUUCCUAGUGUAGAGGUGAGAUUCGUAGAUAUUAGGAAGAACACCAGUGGCGAAGGCGCCUUACUGGCUCGGUACUGACGCUGAGGUACGAAAGCGUGGGGAGCAAACA
Molecule: ribosomal RNA, 402 nt
Filed under: uncultured bacterium
Lineage: Bacteria
Description: bacterial SSU rRNA
Rfam family: Bacterial small subunit ribosomal RNA
Source: RNAcentral